AGGGUUUGAUUAUGGCUCAGGACGAACGCUGGCGGCGUGCUUAACACAUGCAAGUCGAACGGACCUUAUCUGACAGAUUUCUUCGGAUUGACGACAUAUAAGGUUAGUGGCGGACGGGUGAGUAACACGUGGAUAAUCUACCGUAAAGACCGGGACAACAGUUGGAAACGACUGCUAAUACCGGAUGUUGUGCAGAGGCGGCAUCGCUUUUGCAUUAAAGGAGGCCUCUAUUUAUAAGCUCCCGCUUUAUGAUGAGUCCGCGUCUGAUUAGCUAGUUGGUGGGGUAAGGGCUCACCAAGGCGACGAUCAGUAGCCGGCCUGAGAGGGUGAUCGGCCACAUUGGGACUGAGACACGGCCCAA
RNAcentral lists this ribosomal RNA (361 nucleotides) under uncultured bacterium. RNAcentral's name for it is "bacterial SSU rRNA". It matches the Rfam family "Bacterial small subunit ribosomal RNA", at positions 8 to 334 of the family's 1533-position model. The record is from RNAcentral.